UCCCAGACAGUUACGGAUAUUGGGUUCUUGUUCGGAAAUAAACAUGAGUGUAUAAUAUAUUUAGUUUGGAGCAUGGAGUUGUAUAAAACAAUGUCUAUAUUUAUUUGUGCAACAGUAUUUUGGAUAUUGACUUUAAAGACAGCAGGCGCUACAGAAUGCUUGAAGUGCAUAGAUGGUACGUUUGAUACCACAAGCGUUCCACAAACAUUUAAGUCAUAUAUAAAAACUUUGAAGAAAGACAUAAACACGCCAGGGUGUGCAAAUGCAACGUCUGUCACUAAAUCAGGAAGUAUAACAAUUGGUCCAUGUGAAGAUGACACCCCUAACAACAGGAUAAAUAUGUGUAGUACUUUAACCGGAACUGUCAACUUGACACACUUAACAGCUAAUUUAGACAUCAAAGUGACCGUCACAGCUAGAGGAUGUUUUGCAGUGGAUACAAACAUAAAAGAGGGAUGUUAUACAGAAAAGAAUAUGUUAAAUGACCAGAAAGUCGUUCUUGGAAAAAAGUUCGGAAAAGGAAUUGGACUAUUCCAAAUACAAAUUGGAGAUAUACAUAAUGGAAAAUUAUGUAUAAAUGGAAGUAGUACAUUAUGUUAUACGCCUGUAGUAUUGCUGUUGCUUAUAUUAAAGCUGAAACUAA
Long non-coding RNA from Mytilus californianus (California mussel), 643 nucleotides. RefSeq lists it as uncharacterized. The record is from RefSeq and is a predicted model, not a curated record. Lineage: Eukaryota; Metazoa; Mollusca; Bivalvia; Mytilida; Mytilidae. The transcript has 3 exons.